RNAcentral lists this ribosomal RNA (256 nucleotides) under uncultured bacterium. RNAcentral describes it as "partial 16S ribosomal RNA". It matches the Rfam family "Bacterial small subunit ribosomal RNA", at positions 524 to 776 of the family's 1533-position model. The record is from RNAcentral.
UACGUAGGGUGCAAGCGUUAAUCGGAAUUACUGGGCGUAAAGCGUGCGCAGGCGGUUUUGUAAGUCUGUCGUGAAAUCCCCCGGGCUCAACCUGGGAAUUGCGAUGGAGACUGCAAGGCUAGAAUCUGGCAGAGGGGGGUAGAAUUCCACGUGUGAGCAGUGAAAUGCGUAGAGAUGUGGAGGAACACCGAUGGCGAAGGCAGCCCCCUGGGUCAAGAUUGACGCUCAUGCACGAAAGGCGUGGGGAGCAAACAGG